AAAUUGUACAAAAAGUACAUAAUAAUGAUAAUAAUAACACCAAACCCACCCUAUCCUCACACUCUAACCUUACUCUUCUCCCCUCCAUUUGCAAAUGCAAGAAAAUCAAAAUUUAAAUCUUCAAAGAUCCCAUUUGCAAAAGCAAGAAAAUCAAAACUCAAAUCUUGAAAACUCCAACCUCCUUAGCCGCUCCACGCCUGACUUUUCUUUUUCAUCCGACCGACAUAGCAUCUGGAACAAGUGAAGUGACUGUUGAAAUCUCUAUUUUUUUCUCACAUUUUCAAUCUUCAUCUAUCGAUUUCUAAUUUGUAGCAUAUGGAAUUGUGACACCAAGCUAUUGCCAUAUCCUGAAUUUGACCAUUGUCUUCUUCUUUUCUCUGUGUCUCUUUUUGUUUUCUAUUUUUAUUAAUCGUUCAUAUUGAAGAGGAGAUAGAUGAAAAGGAAGUAUCCGGCAAGUAUGCUUUUAUUGAUUAUUUGAGUUUGUGUUUCUGUUGUUAGACUGUUAGUUAAAUUGAUAUUGUUUCGACUUUUAAUUUCAUAAAUUAGUCAUAUAAGUUGGUUUUUAAGUAUUAUAUAUAGUGUUCAAUUAUUUAUCUUUUUUUCUUCCAUUAAUUGGGUUCUUUUUGAAAGCUAUUGUUCCCUUAAACAUCUGAUCCAUGUUAGCAUGUGGAGAGUAUAUUUGAAGUUCAUAUGGAAGUCUUCUAUCUAGGAAAUCUAUCAUUCUCGACAAAUAGUUUCUAAAAUUCUUGACAGUUUCACUAGUUUCUCGAAAGUUAUAAUGCAAUGCCAAACUUGUUUCAAAUGCUUCACUAGGUGUCGUACGAAUUAAAUGCAUGUUAUAUCAUUAUCUAACCAUUGGAAUUUGUUCAUGUUAAUAGUUUCGCAUAUGGAUUUCGAGUUUGUUUUGUCUAAAGGCGAAUGUAUACAUGGAUGAUGUACGAUGUAUUUUCCUAAUGAAAGGGCUGCACCGGUUCCCUCAAUUGCCACUGAUGCAGUUGAAAAUGAAAAAGUGGUGGUGACGAAAAAAUGACGCUCGAUGCACAUUGGAACAUUAUCAAUGUUAAAUCGGACUAUGCACACUAGGAGUGGUAGGAAGAGAGGAAAUAACAUAAAAUAAUAUGUUUUUUUGAUUGGGAAAAAAUGUGUACCAUUUUUUUGAACUUGGAAUUUGUCAUGUUUUGAAAUUUUUUACAUUUAUGUUUGUUUUCAUAUUUAUUUGAAAAAUUAUUUAGGUCUAUUGUCAUGUAUGUUUAGUUUAUGUUAUUUUACUCAAAUAUAGUGUUAUUGUGAACGAUGUUGAUUGAGCAUAUAUUUGAUACUUUCAAGUAGAGAUUGAUGGACAGU
Molecule: long non-coding RNA, 1344 nt
Filed under: Olea europaea subsp. europaea
Lineage: Eukaryota; Viridiplantae; Streptophyta; Magnoliopsida; Lamiales; Oleaceae
Source: RNAcentral